Molecule: ribosomal RNA, 301 nt
Filed under: uncultured bacterium
Lineage: Bacteria
Description: partial 16S ribosomal RNA
Rfam family: Bacterial small subunit ribosomal RNA
Source: RNAcentral
CAGUAGCCGCGGGAAUACGUAGGUGGCAAGCGUUGUCCGGAAUUAUUGGGCGUAAAGGGCUCGCAGGCGGUUUCUUAAGUCUGAUGUGAAAGCCCCCGGCUCAACCGGGGAGGGUCAUUGGAAACUGGGAAACUUGAGUGCAGAAGAGGAGAGUGGAAUUCCACGUGUAGCGGUGAAAUGCGUAGAGAUGUGGAGGAACACCAGUGGCGAAGGCGACUCUCUGGUCUGUAACUGACGCUGAGGAGCGAAAGCGUGGGGAGCGAACAGGAUUAGAUACCCCAGUAGUCCCUGUCUCUUUACA